Molecule: ribosomal RNA, 444 nt
Filed under: Triticum aestivum (bread wheat)
Lineage: Eukaryota; Viridiplantae; Streptophyta; Magnoliopsida; Poales; Poaceae
Description: partial small subunit ribosomal RNA
Source: RNAcentral
AGGUACAAAAGUAAUCCCGGCAUGGAACACUGGACAGCGGUCAAGAAUAUCCUGAAGUACCUGAAGAGGACUGAGGAUAUGGUUCUCGUUUAUGGAGGUGACGAAGAGCUCGUCGUAAAGGGUUACGUCGACGCUAGCUUCGACACAGAUCUGGAUGACUCGAAGUCACAAACCGAAUACGUGUAUAUUUUGAAUGGAGGAGCAGUAAGCUGGUGCAGUUGCAAGCAAAGCGUCGUGGCGGGAUCUACAUGUGAAGCGGAGUACAUGGCAGCCUCGGAGGCAGCACAGGAAGCAGUCUGGAUGAAGGAGUUCAUUACCGACCUAGGGGUGAUUCCCAAUGCGUCGGGCCCGAUGACUCUCUUCUGUGACAACACUGGAGCUAUUGCCCUUGCGAAGGAGCCCAGAUUUCACAGGAAGACCAGGCAUAUCAAGCGUCGCUUCAAC